Molecule: ribosomal RNA, 660 nt
Filed under: Triticum aestivum (bread wheat)
Lineage: Eukaryota; Viridiplantae; Streptophyta; Magnoliopsida; Poales; Poaceae
Description: partial small subunit ribosomal RNA
Source: RNAcentral
AUGCUAGACGUGUUCUCGUCUAGUACAAAAGAAUGGCAAAAGAGGUUGUUUAUCCGUGAAGGUGAGGCUUUGGACACAGUGGCUACUAUACGGCUGGAUAGUUUAGAACCAACAUUUUGGGGGUCGAGGUGGCGCUAUGGUGUCUACUGGCGAGGAGCACUCUAUGUGCAUUGUCGUGGUGCAUUUGUUGCAAGGUUAUUCUUACAGGAUGGCAAGUACCAAGUAGUGAAAACACCAAUAGAUAUCGAGGAAAGCAAACGUGCACAACCUUGUCUGGGGAAAUCAGAAAAAGGGGUUUACUUUGCAACAAUUCAUGAUGAAUAUCUAUUUCGGGUUUGGAUUUUAUUAAAUGAAUCAUGUCAGAUAUCUUGGUCAUUGAAGCAUCACAUUGAUCUUAACCCAUGGGCAACGAUAUAUUUGAACCAGCCUAAGGGAAUUGACAAAACUUGGUUCUUAUAUGGUGAUAACAAUGAAGAUGGAACCAAUGGGGAUGAGAAUUUUGAAUGGAACUCCGAUGACGAUAACGUUCUGAAUAUUGAAGAUGAUUAUGAACCUUUCUACAGCCAUGUUUCUAUCCUCGGAUUUCACCCCUACAAAGAGAUUGUUUUCUUAGAGGUAUCAUCAUUCAGAGUAGUGGCUUAUCAUCUGAAUAGCUCAUAA